ACUUAUGAGAAAGGCCUUUCAGUCAUCUUGGAUUUUGUAUGUAAACAAUCUGCAAUAUUUUGCAAUAUCUUUUUUUUUGCUCUUUGUGUGUGGUAUUGUUUUGGUGGGAAUAAGAGCAUUGGAAAGUUGAAAGCUCAAGAGAAAAAAUCGACUUUCGGAGUCGGUCGGUGAUGGAGGAAUUUUUCCCGCGUUUUGCAGUUAGAGACGUCGGUUAAUUAUUCGAUUGUAAGGUUUCUGGAAUUUCAAGUUUUCCUAUAUUUAAUAUUCUUUGUUACUGUGUUCUUGGUUAACAUAAACUUAAUGCCUGUUUUUGAUGGGGCAUAAAAAGAUGAUAUAAAAGGAUUUCUAGGAACUUCCUGCGACUUGUUUUAUCGUCGAUAUUGUUCAGCUCAUAUAUUAUAGAAAAAAACCCGAAGAUGUAACUGUAAAAUUAACCAUAA
Long non-coding RNA from Toxorhynchites rutilus septentrionalis, 440 nucleotides. RefSeq lists it as uncharacterized. NCBI's taxonomy places the organism in Eukaryota, Metazoa, Arthropoda, Insecta, Diptera, Culicidae. The record is from RefSeq and is a predicted model, not a curated record. The transcript has 2 exons.